This 512-nucleotide long non-coding RNA is filed under the name Vigna radiata. RNAcentral describes it as "long non-coding RNA (VRAD_LNC015788)". The record is from RNAcentral. Lineage: Eukaryota; Viridiplantae; Streptophyta; Magnoliopsida; Fabales; Fabaceae.
AAUGCUUUUAUUGUUUAACUCAUUCGGUAAAUGUUGUUUGUCUUUAUUGAUAUGGCGACCUACGAUAAUGUCAUGAAGUGGGGGGAAUUCCUUGAUUAUGCUAAUACCGCCUAGAGAUAGGGGUAGGACGAUCAAUUGUAUUUUGCUUCCGUUUAUCAAGCCUUAUUGGUUACUGGGGGAGGCUGGAGAUAGCAAGCCAGUAAUUGGUAAUAGGCUCUUUUCGCCAAGAGAUUAGGUUUAGGGUAGACUAAAAAAGUUUGCAUGACAAUAUGAUAAAUAAGCUAAGUAGAUAAGAAGAUUAGAUAUAAGAGGGUGGAUAAGAUGAAAUUGUAAACCCCAACAACUCUAUUCAUCCAUAGUUUUUUCUAGCCAAUUGAUUCACGGCAUUUUGCAUGUUUACUUUUGUCUCUUGCAUUCAAAACCUAAAUUUAAUUCUUUUCUCAAGUCUUAUGCGAUUGGUUUACAUGAAAAGUAAGGCCUAAGAGUCCUUUGGGAAACGAUACUUGGACUUA